AGGAAGGCUCGUCCGCUCUGGGUUAGUCGGGUCCUAAGCUGAGGCCGACAGGCGUAGGCGAUGGAUAACAGGUUGAUAUUCCUGUACCACCUAUAAUCGUUUUAAUCGAUGGGGGGACGCAGUAGGAUAGGCGAAGCGUGCGAUUGGAUUGCACGUCUAAGCAGUAAGGCUGAGUAUUAGGCAAAUCCGGUACUCGUUAAGGCUGAGC
RNAcentral lists this ribosomal RNA (208 nucleotides) under Staphylococcus aureus. RNAcentral describes it as "partial 23S ribosomal RNA". It matches the Rfam family "Bacterial large subunit ribosomal RNA", at positions 1358 to 1561 of the family's 2925-position model. The record is from RNAcentral. Lineage: Bacteria; Bacillati; Bacillota; Bacilli; Caryophanales; Staphylococcaceae.